This 634-nucleotide long non-coding RNA is filed under the name Fukomys damarensis (Damara mole-rat). RNAcentral describes it as "lncRNA (ENSFDAG00000022050.1)". The record is from RNAcentral. Lineage: Eukaryota; Metazoa; Chordata; Mammalia; Rodentia; Bathyergidae.
AUACUAAACUAAAAUGGUUUCAUAAGGCCUAAGAUUUAUAUGUUUCCUUCAAGAAAGAGAUCAGAUGGUCUCAAGUUUCUGUAUCCUUCUAACCUUUUUUCCAGAGGCCACCAGGAGCAAGGGACAAGUGCAGAGUGCUUCUAUAGAAUCAGGAGUGUGAGUGCCCAGGAGUGAAUUUGCAACUGCCACCUGGAACCAGCCUGUCCUUGCUGUGCUCACACUACUAUAGUGAGGGGCUAAAUUCCUAUAGCACGUAAACAUUGAGUAAAGGCCUCUUAUUUUGCUUGAACAGGCAGGUGCAGGAGAAAACAUCCCCUAAAAGUCUUCAUUUGUCUUUGAGUGGGUGUCUCUGGUCCUGCCACAAUGGGAGAAACCCUGGAUCUGCUCCAUGACUUCCUUUGAUGGCAUCGUCCGGCACUUGCUAGACCAUUUCAAUCCUCUCACCACCCAGGUUCUACAUCAAGACAGUGCCAGCGUCAAGAUUUCUCUUGGAGUCUUUGGUGAAGGUCACGAGCCCCAGUCUGGAGUCCAAGCCUCAUACAGAUUGCCACUACAACAGAGCCAUCUAUCUGCCUUCAUAGCCUAUCGUGACAAAAAAUCUGUGUUGAGCCUAAAAGAUCACAGAAGCGAUUAG